This 813-nucleotide ribosomal RNA is filed under the name Metaphrynella pollicaris (Malaysian treefrog). Its description in RNAcentral is "partial 16S rRNA". The stretch from base 206 to 813 matches the Rfam family "Archaeal large subunit ribosomal RNA", at positions 1423 to 2643 of the family's 2987-position model. Lineage: Eukaryota; Metazoa; Chordata; Amphibia; Anura; Microhylidae. The record is from RNAcentral.
UCCAACAGCCCAUCAAAACCCUUACUCAAUAUUGAGCGAUUCUAUACUAUUAUAGAAAACCAUAUGCUAGAACUAGUAACAAGAAGAAGACCCCCUCCAAAAUACAAGUGUUAGCCGAAACGAACAAACACCGGCAUUUACCGCCAAUGAACCCACAGUAGUAACUAAACAAGAAAAUACUACUUUUUUUAGCGUCAACCUUACACAAGAAUAUUUCUGGAAAGAUUAAAAAAAGGAGAAGGAACUCGGCAAACUAAUAACCCCGCCUGUUUACCAAAAACAUCGCCUCUUGACAAACAUAAGAGGUCCAGCCUGCCCAGUGACAAAGUUUAACGGCCGCGGUACCCUAACCGUGCGAAGGUAGCACAAUCACUUGUUCUUUAAAUAAGGACUAGUAUGAACGGCAUCACGAGGGUUAUGCUGUCUCCCCCUUUUAAUCAGUGAAACUGACCUCCCCGUGAAGAGGCGGGGAUAAAAUUAUAAGACGAGAAGACCCCAUGGAGCUUUAAACUCAGUAUUAACUGCUUCACUUACAUCAUUUUAAACUAGCAGCCAUAAAAACUAGUUUUUGGUUGGGGUGACCACGGAGUAAAACAAAACCUCCACGAUGAACGAACCAAACACUCUAAUCAUAGAGCCACAACUCAACAAAUCAACAAAUUGACAUAUUUGAUCCAAUUAAUUUUGAUCAACGAACCAAGUUACCCUGGGGAUAACAGCGCAAUCCACUUCAAGAGCCCCUAUCGACAAGUGGGUUUACGACCUCGAUGUUGGAUCAGGGUAUCCCAGUGGUGCAACCGCUACUAAAGGUUC